RNAcentral lists this ribosomal RNA (389 nucleotides) under uncultured bacterium. Its description in RNAcentral is "bacterial SSU rRNA". It matches the Rfam family "Bacterial small subunit ribosomal RNA", at positions 28 to 417 of the family's 1533-position model. The record is from RNAcentral.
GACGAACGCUGGCGGCGUGCUUAACACAUGCAAGUCGAACGGAAAGGCCCUUUCGGGGGUGCUCGAGUGGCGAACGGGGUGAGUGACACGUGGGUGAUCUGCCCUGAACUUUGGGAUAAGCCUGGGAAACUGUGUCUAAUACCGGAUAUGACCAGUGGGUGCAUGCUUGCUGGUGGAAAGCCUUGUGCGGUUUGGGAUGGGCCCGCGGCCUAUCAGCUUGUUGGUGGGUAAUGGCCUACCAAGGCGACGACGGGUAGCCGACCUGAGAGGGUGAUCGGCCACACUGGGACUGAGACACGGCCCAGACUCCUACGGGAGGCAGCAGUGGGGAAUAUUGCACGAAUGGGCGCAAGCCUGAUGCAGCGACGCCGCGUGAGGGAUGACGGCCU